This 441-nucleotide ribosomal RNA is filed under the name Triticum aestivum (bread wheat). RNAcentral describes it as "partial small subunit ribosomal RNA". Lineage: Eukaryota; Viridiplantae; Streptophyta; Magnoliopsida; Poales; Poaceae. The record is from RNAcentral.
AUGGCCGCGGUUCGGUGCGCGGCGAGGAGGCUCGGCGGCUCUCUGCUCCAGCGAACGCAGGCGGCGGUCGCGGAGGAGGGACGCCUGCUCGCGCCAAGCAGGCUCAUGCGCUCCCGCCAGCUCUCCACCAAGGUCUCCGGCGAGCGAUCGCAGGUGGCGGAGCGACACCUCCUCGAGCCAGGCAGCCUCAUGCGCUCCCGCCAGCUCUCCGGCGAGCAUGCUCGCAACAUCCAGAAGAAAGAGGAUGACUGCUGGGCGGGGUUCAAUGAGACGCUAAAGAGGUUGGACGAGCUUCAAAAAAAGAAGAAACCAAGUGUCUUUCAGCAGCGCAUGAUAUCCAUCGACCGUGCGUUGAAGAGUUUGGUCUAUGGAUCUUUCAAGGUGACAGUUGUGUAUGUGGCUGCUGCUACUGCUUUCUCUGGCAGUGGGCUAGAAGCGUAG